Long non-coding RNA from Hyla sarda, 1282 nucleotides. RefSeq lists it as uncharacterized. The transcript has 4 exons. NCBI's taxonomy places the organism in Eukaryota, Metazoa, Chordata, Amphibia, Anura, Hylidae. The record is from RefSeq and is a predicted model, not a curated record.
CAGUAGUGCCGCCUCUGCUGAUCAAGAUGGGGCUGGGCAGGGAAGUGCGCACACGAUUUGUGUAGGUGUCAUGGUGUGUGUGUGUGUGUGUGUCAGGAAGCUGCGGAGGGAUACUUCACUUACAGCCAUUGAAACUGACAUUUCCAUGCAUCUAGAUUAUGAGCUCAGGCAUUGAAGCCGCCUCAACUCCUAGAAGCCAAUAUACCCACUGGUAAGGGCAGAGGUGACCAACUGCGGAUAAUAUGGUGCUGAACUGCAGAUCCACAGAAAGAUCUGCAACUGCACAUUCAAAACAGGUGUACUGUCUUGGCCAGUGAAUUUGAGCCCUUGUCUCCAAAGCAGGAAGAAGACACAACAUGGACAGAAGUGAAUGGACAGAAGUGAACAGGUGCUUCUGGGGAUUAGGGCUAGCUAUGUGUAACACAAUUUGGACCUUGGAAAACCACUUACAGUGUGCUGUCAUGUAAUCUUAUGACUGUUUAUAUUUUUGGUGUUGUGAAUUGUCCCACCAGAGUCUGGUACCUGAGAAUUAGUUAGUAUACAAAGCAAAGUGUAACCUACUUAUUCGGUUUCUAUUCAAGGACAAAGUUAACCUGGUAUGGGUAACCUAUAAAGAGGGUGAGACUAUUGAAACAUAUGGGAAGCUGUAAUUUACCCCCUGUUCUAAAUUAUUAUGCAAAUUCUAUUUAAGUGUCACAAAUAUUAAAUAUUUUGUUUUUCAGUUUAACUCAUGGAUGGCAUUGUGUCUCAGGGCUCUUUUGAUCACUGAAAACAAUCUCGGACACUUGUGAUAACUAAAUUGCCAGGUGAGCCCAAUUUAAGAAAAAGCUACUAAAGGUGGGUGUUCCACAUUACUAAGCAGAGAACCAUUUUCAAGUAAUAUGGGGAAGAAAAAGGAUCUCUCUGCUGCCGAAAAGAGUGAAAUAGUUCAAUACCUUGGACGAGGUAUGAAAACAUUAGAUAUUUCAUGAAAACUUAAGCGUGAUCAUCGCACAAUUAAGAGAUUUGUGGCUGAUUCAGAGCACAGACGGGUUCGUGUAGAUAAAGGCACAUUGAGGAAGAUUUCUGCCAGAUCCAUGCAUCGGAUCAAGAGAGCAGCUGCUAAAAUACAAUUACAUGGCAGCAAACAGAUAUUUGAAGCUGCUGGUGCCUCUGAAGUCCCACGGACAUCAAGGUGUAGAGUCCUCGAAUAUUCGUGAAUAUAGCGCUAUAUAUUCGUAAUGACGAAUAUUAUUAUUUUUUUUUUCUUCACAGUACACAUCUCUGCUUCCAGCUUAUGUGG